UUUCCGUAGGUGAACCUGCGGAAGGAUCAUCACUGAUCACGGCCUUGCCGCUGACCCCCUGUGCACUGUUCCAGCGCGCCCAUGCGGGCGCGCAUCGUAUUCACAAUUCCCGCGACGAGAGUCUGAGGCGCGCGCAUGCGCGGAACGGAACGCAACACAACUUUUAACAACGGAUCUCUUGGUUCUC
Molecule: unclassified non-coding RNA, 187 nt
Filed under: plant metagenome
Description: partial contains small subunit ribosomal RNA, internal transcribed spacer 1, and 5.8S ribosomal RNA
Source: RNAcentral